This 945-nucleotide ribosomal RNA is filed under the name uncultured bacterium. RNAcentral's name for it is "bacterial SSU rRNA". It matches the Rfam family "Bacterial small subunit ribosomal RNA", at positions 522 to 1478 of the family's 1533-position model. The record is from RNAcentral.
AAUACGGAGGGUGCGAGCGUUAAUCGGAAUUACUGGGCGUAAAGCGCAUGCAGGCGGUCUGUUAAGCAAGAUGUGAAAUCCCAGAGCUUAACUCUGGAACUGCCAUUAAAACUUUUCAGCUAGAGUAUGAUAGAGGAAAGCAGAAUUUCUAGUGUAGAGGUGAAAUUCGUAGAUAUUAGAAAGAAUACCAAUUGCGAAGGCAGCUUUCUGGAUCAUUACUGACACUGAGGAACGAAAGCAUGGGUAGCGAAGAGGAUUAGAUACCCUCGUAGUCCAUGCCGUAAACGAUGUGUGUUAGACGUUGGAAAUUUAUUUUCAGUGUCGCAGGGAAACCGAUAAACACACCGCCUGGGGAGUACGACCGCAAGGUUAAAACUCAAAUGAAUUGACGGGGACCCGCACAAGUAGUGGAGCAUGUGGUUUAAUUCGAAGAUACGCGCAGAACCUUACCAACACUUGACAUGUUCGUCGCGACUCUAAGAGAUUAGAGUUUUCGGUUCGGCCGGACGAAACACAGGUGCUGCAUGGCUGUCGUCAGCUCGUGUCGUGAGAUGUUGGGUUAAGUCCCUCAACGAGCGCAACCCUCACUUUUAGUUGCCAUCAUUUAGUUGGGCACUCUGAAAGAACUGCCAGUGAUAAGCUGGAGGAAGGUGGGGAUGACGUCAAGUCCUCAUGGCCCUUACGUGUUGGGCUACACACGUGCUACAAUGGUAUCUACAACAGGAAGCAAGACUGCGAGGUCAAGCAAAUCCUUAAAAGAUACCUCAGUUCGGAUUGCACUCUGCAACUCGAGUGCAUGAAGCUGGAAUUACUAGUAAUCGUGGAUCAGCGUGCCACGGUGAAUGCGUUCCCGGGUCUUGUACACACCGCCCGUCACACCAUGGGAGUUGGUUCUACCUUAAGGCAAGGUUUAAAACCCUUGACCACGGUAUAGUCAGCGACUGG